AAAAAUUUAGUUAAUUUAUAACAUUAGUUUGUCAAACUAAAAUAACUUUAUAAUAAGUAAUUUUUA
This 66-nucleotide transfer RNA is filed under the name Eurysternus hamaticollis. RNAcentral describes it as "tRNA-Asp". The record is from RNAcentral. Lineage: Eukaryota; Metazoa; Arthropoda; Insecta; Coleoptera; Scarabaeidae.